UUAAAUAUCAAUGUGAUGUCGAGUCUUUAUGCGUGGUUUUCGUUAUUUACUGAUUCUCCUGUUUACUUGAGUCAUACAAAAUUUUUGCAAAAAUCUAGACUUAGAGAUAUAGUGCAUUUUUUGAAAAUUCUAAACUAUAAAUCAAACUGAGGUUGAAUUGUAGAGAUUUGGAAAAGCCUUAUAAGAUCGGUAUCGUUUUAAC
RNAcentral lists this long non-coding RNA (202 nucleotides) under Lathyrus oleraceus (garden pea). RNAcentral describes it as "Pisum sativum (pea) long non-coding RNA (PSAT_LNC034604)". The record is from RNAcentral. Lineage: Eukaryota; Viridiplantae; Streptophyta; Magnoliopsida; Fabales; Fabaceae.